UUAGAUACCCUGGUAGUCCACGCCGUAAACGAUGAGUGCUAAGUGUUGGAGGGUUUCCGCCCUUCAGUGCUGCAGCUAACGCAUUAAGCACUCCGCCUGGGGAGUACGACCGCAAGGUUGAAACUCAAAGGAAUUGACGGGGGCCCGCACAAGCGGUGGAGCAUGUGGUUUAAUUCGAAGCAACGCGAAGAACCUUACCAGGUCUUGACAUCCUUUGACCACUCUAGAGAUAGAGCUUCCCCUUCGGGGGCAAAGUGACAGGUGGUGCAUGGUUGUCGUCAGCUCGUGUCGUGAGAUGUUGGGUUAAGUCCCGCAACGAGCGCAACCCUUAUUGUUAGUUGCCAUCAUUCAGUUGGGCACUCUAGCAAGACUGCCGGUGACAAACCGGAGGAAGGUGGGGAUGACGUCAAAUCAUCAUGCCCCUUAUGACCUGGGCUACACACGUGCUACAAUGGGAAGUACAACGAGUCGCGAAGUCGCGAGGCUAAGCUAAUCUCUUAAAGCUUCUCUCAGUUCGGAUUGUAGGCUGCAACUCGCCUACAUGAAGCCGGAAUCGCUAGUAAUCGCGGAUCAGCACGCCGCGGUGAAUACGUUCCCGGGCCUUGUACACACCGCCCGUCACACCACGAGAGUUUGUAACACCCGAAGUCGGUGAGGUAACCUUUUGGAGCCAGCCGCCUAAGGUGGGAUAGAUGAUUGGGGUGAAGUCGUAACAAGGUAGCCGUAUCGGAAGGUGCGGCUGGAUCACCUCCUUUCUAAGGAA
This 763-nucleotide ribosomal RNA is filed under the name Bifidobacterium pseudocatenulatum. RNAcentral describes it as "bacterial SSU rRNA". It matches the Rfam family "Bacterial small subunit ribosomal RNA", at positions 778 to 1533 of the family's 1533-position model. The record is from RNAcentral. Lineage: Bacteria; Bacillati; Actinomycetota; Actinomycetes; Bifidobacteriales; Bifidobacteriaceae.